UACGUAGGGUGCGAGCGUUGUCCGGAAUUAUUGGGCGUAAAGAGCUCGUAGGCGGCCAACUAAGUCGGAUGUGGAAUCCCCAGGCUUAACCUGGGAACUGCAUCCGAUACUGGAUGGCUUGAAUCCGGGAGAGGGAUGCAGAAUUCCAGGUGUAGAGGUGAAAUGCGUAGAUAUCUGGAGGAAUACCGGUGGCGAAGGCGGCAUCCUGGACCGGCAUUGACGCUGAUGAGCGAAAGCUAGGGGAGCAAACGGG
This 253-nucleotide ribosomal RNA is filed under the name uncultured bacterium. RNAcentral describes it as "partial 16S ribosomal RNA". It matches the Rfam family "Bacterial small subunit ribosomal RNA", at positions 524 to 776 of the family's 1533-position model. The record is from RNAcentral.